CAGCCGCCGCGGUAAUACGUAGGUCCCGAGCGUUGUCCGGAUUUAUUGGGCGUAAAGCGAGCGCAGGCGGUUUCUUAAGUCUGAUGUGAAAGCCCCCGGCUCAACCGGGGAGGGUCAUUGGAAACUGGGAAACUUGAGUGCAGAAGAGGAGAGUGGAAUUCCUCGUGUAGCGGUGAAAUGCGUAGAGAUGUGGAGGAACACCAGUGGCGAAGGCAAUCCCCUGGGCCUGUACUGACGCUCAUGCACGAAAGCGUGGGGAGCAAACAGGAUUAGAUACCCCUGUAGUCCCUGUCUCUUAUAC
Molecule: ribosomal RNA, 301 nt
Filed under: uncultured bacterium
Lineage: Bacteria
Description: partial 16S ribosomal RNA
Rfam family: Bacterial small subunit ribosomal RNA
Source: RNAcentral